GACGAACGCUGGCGGCGUGCUUAACACAUGCAAGUCGAACGGAAAGGCCCUGCUUUUGUGGGGUGCUCGAGUGGCGAACGGGUGAGUAACACGUGAGUAACCUGCCCUUGACUUUGGGAUAACUUCAGGAAACUGGGGCUAAUACCGGAUAGGAGCUCCUGCUGCAUGGUGGGGGUUGGAAAGUUUCGGCGGUUGGGGAUGGACUCGCGGCUUAUCAGCUUGUUGGUGGGGUAGUGGCUUACCAAGGCUUUGACGGGUAGCCGGCCUGGGGGGGUGACCGGCAACAUGGGGACUGAGAUACGGCCCAGACUCCGACGGGAGGCAGCAGUGGGGAAUAUGGCACAAUGGGCGGAGGCCUGAUGCAGCAACGCCGCGUGCGGGAUGACGGCCUUCGGGUUGUAAACCGCUUUCGCCUGUGACGAAGCGUGAGUGACGGUAAUGGGUAAAGAAGCACCGGCUAACUACGUG
Molecule: ribosomal RNA, 468 nt
Filed under: uncultured bacterium
Lineage: Bacteria
Description: partial 16S ribosomal RNA
Rfam family: Bacterial small subunit ribosomal RNA
Source: RNAcentral